GACGAACGCUGGCGGCGUGCUUAACACAUGCAAGUCGAACGGAAAGGCCCUGCUUUUGUGGGGUGCUCGAGUGGCGAACGGGUGAGUAACACGUGAGUAACCUGCCCUUGACUUUGGGAUAACUUCAGGAAACUGGGGCUAAUACCGGAUAGGAGCUCCUGCUGCAUGGUGGGGGUUGGAAAGUUUCGGCGGUUGGGGAUGGACUCGCGGCUUAUCAGCUUGUUGGUGGGGUAGUGGCUUACCAAGGCUUUGACGGGUAGCCGGCCUGAGAGGGUGACCGGCCUCAAUGGUACUGAGGUAGGGCCCAGACGCGAACGUGAGGCAGUAGUGGGAAACAUUGCACAACGAGCGCAAGCCAGAGACGACAGCGCUGCGAUCGGGAUGCCGGCUUACUGGUGAUAAACCGAUGUCGACUGAGACGUAGCGGUCUUGACGGUAACUGGUAAAGAAGCACCGGCUAACUACGUG
RNAcentral lists this ribosomal RNA (468 nucleotides) under uncultured bacterium. Its description in RNAcentral is "partial 16S ribosomal RNA". It matches the Rfam family "Bacterial small subunit ribosomal RNA", at positions 28 to 507 of the family's 1533-position model. The record is from RNAcentral.